AUUGAACGCUGGCGGCAGGCCUAACACAUGCAAGUCGAGCGGAUGAAGGGAGCUUGCUCCUGGAUUCAGCGGCGGACGGGCGAGUAAUGCCUAGGAAUCUGCCUGGUCUUGGGGGAUAACGUCCGGAAACGGGCGCUAAUACCGCAUACGUCCUGAGGGAGAAAGGGGGGGAUCUUCAGACCUCACGCUAUCAGAUGAGCCUAGGUCGGAUUAGCUAGUUGGUGUGGUAAAGGCCUACCAAGGCGACGAUCCGUAACUGGUCUGAGAGGGUGAUCAGUCACACUGGAACUGAGACACGGUCCAGACUCCUACGGGAGGCAGCAGUGGGGAAUAUUCGGCAAUGGGCGAAAGCCUGAUCCAGCCAUGCCGCGUGUGUGAAGAAGGUCUUCGGAUUGUAAAGCUCUUUAAGUUGGGAGGAACGACAGUAAAUUAAUCCCUUGCUGUUUUGACGUUACCAACAGAAUAAGCACCGGCUAACUUCGUG
RNAcentral lists this ribosomal RNA (484 nucleotides) under uncultured bacterium. RNAcentral describes it as "partial 16S ribosomal RNA". It matches the Rfam family "Bacterial small subunit ribosomal RNA", at positions 30 to 507 of the family's 1533-position model. The record is from RNAcentral.